Non-coding RNA from Salmo salar (Atlantic salmon), 55 nucleotides. The record is from Rfam. NCBI's taxonomy places the organism in Eukaryota, Metazoa, Chordata, Actinopteri, Salmoniformes, Salmonidae.
UGUAUGCAUUCACUGUAAGUCGCUCUGGAUAAGAGCGUCUGCUAAAUGACGUAAA